Molecule: ribosomal RNA, 466 nt
Filed under: uncultured bacterium
Lineage: Bacteria
Description: partial 16S ribosomal RNA
Rfam family: Bacterial small subunit ribosomal RNA
Source: RNAcentral
GACGAACGCUGGCGGCGCGCCUAACACAUGCAAGUCGAACGAGCGAGCGAGAGCUUGCUUUCUCAAGCGAGUGGCGAACGGGUGAGUAACGCGUGAGGAACCUGCCUCAAAGAGGGGGACAACAGUUGGAAACGACUGCUAAUACCGCAUAAGCCCACGACCCGGCAUCGGGUAGAGGGAAAAGGAGCAAUCCGCUUUGAGAUGGCCUCGCGUCCGAUUAGCUAGUUGGUGAGGUAACGGCCCACCAAGGCGACGAUCGGUAGCCGGACUGAGAGGUUGAACGGCCACAUUGGGACUGAGACACGGCCCAGACUCCUACGGGAGGCAGCAGUGGGGAAUAUUGCACAAUGGGGGAAACCCUGAUGCAGCGACGCCGCGUAGAGGAAGAAGGUCUUCGGAUUGUAAACUCCUGUUGUUGAGGAAGAUAAUGACGGUACUCAACAAGGAAGUGACGGCUAACUACGUG